This 23-nucleotide small nuclear RNA is filed under the name Arabidopsis thaliana (thale cress). RNAcentral describes it as "snRNA_03860". The record is from RNAcentral. Lineage: Eukaryota; Viridiplantae; Streptophyta; Magnoliopsida; Brassicales; Brassicaceae.
AUGACGUGUAGCCGAUUUAACGU